UGAUGGAUCAAAACGUCCUAAUCGCGCUGGUGUCAUAUCUCCUGAUGUUGAUCUUGGGGCCAUUGAUCAUAGAUGUCAUCCUGGUAAGCAAAAAGAUCUGGAGCUUCUUGCACACAUUUACAAAAUACCUAGCGCAUGAUGACACCCUCGUCGUCGACUCUAUGGUGCUUGAUGAUAGCCCCACAUCACCGGCGAAAGUAACUGGUGGUGGAGGAUUAACAUCUCGUGACAUAGAAAUUGUCACGGCGAGGCUAGGUCUUACCGGCUGGAGGUACCAAGGGUGUGAAGGAAUUAGUGUCGUAGAUGAGUUGAUGGACGGUAAGCAAGCGAGCAAGGGCGAGCUGGAGGAGGCCUUCUGUGUUUUCGACCAUGAUGAGGAUGGGUUCAUAUGCGCCGGUGAGUUGUGGAACGUGAUGAGGAGGCUUGGGUUGAAAGAAGGGGCCAUGUAUGAGGACUGUGUGAGGAUGAUCCGCCCCUUCGAUGAGGAUAGAGAUGGUAAGAUUAGCUUCAUAGAGUGUAGAAAGAUGAUGGAGAAUGCCGUUUAGUUAACUAGAAUGUUUUUGUUUGUGUAAAAUAAGCCGUUAUAAACAGUUGUAUGAACAAUGUGUGUUAGUAUGCCACUUUUUGGCAUUUAAUUAAGGUUUUGACAUCAAUAUUUGUUCGCACCAUUUUGGGCCAAACAAUUUGGCAAAUAUGUAAAGUAUCAAAGAUUGCAUCUC
Molecule: ribosomal RNA, 719 nt
Filed under: Triticum aestivum (bread wheat)
Lineage: Eukaryota; Viridiplantae; Streptophyta; Magnoliopsida; Poales; Poaceae
Description: partial small subunit ribosomal RNA
Source: RNAcentral